Molecule: transfer RNA, 92 nt
Filed under: Flavobacteriaceae bacterium
Lineage: Bacteria; Pseudomonadati; Bacteroidota; Flavobacteriia; Flavobacteriales; Flavobacteriaceae
Also listed under: 1 other name
Description: tRNA-Ser
Rfam family: tRNA
About the family: Transfer RNA (tRNA) molecules are approximately 80 nucleotides in length.
Source: RNAcentral
AGAGAGGUGGCCGAGUGGUUUAAGGCGCGCGCUUGGAAAGCGUGUAUUCUGAGAAAUUGGAAUCGAGGGUUCGAAUCCCUUCCUCUCUGCUA